GGGGAUGUAAUGGUUUCGACAGGAGUUAGGUAUAUUAUUUUGCAGUGGUGUAGUAGACCAUAAUUACUUUAGGCUUUUCAAUAAACGGAAAAGAAAACAAAUCAACAGAAGACUACACAAAUUUAAUGUCUUCACAAUCAUCAAAUCUAGUUUUUGCUUAGAAUAUAGCAUCUAGUCGCUUCUAAUGAUCCCUUUAAUUUAGAAAGUGUCGUCAAGAGGGUAUGUAGAUGGAUUCAAUUAAAAUCUAAUGAAUAAGUAAUUGACUUUCAUUUUAUUUUCUUGAUUGUUCUAAUAAAAUAGAAAUGUAUAUAAGAAUAAUCUAAACUGUAGACAAAUAAUAUUUCUUAAUUUUUGGACCGGGGUUCGACUCCCCGCAUCUCCACCA
This 385-nucleotide transfer-messenger RNA is filed under the name Mycoplasma sp. It matches the Rfam family "transfer-messenger RNA". Rfam says of the family: Bacterial tmRNA, also known as 10Sa RNA or SsrA, is named for its dual tRNA and mRNA-like properties. Its role is to liberate the mRNA from a stalled ribosome. RNAcentral also lists the same sequence under 1 other name. The record is from RNAcentral. Lineage: Bacteria; Bacillati; Mycoplasmatota; Mollicutes; Mycoplasmatales; Mycoplasmataceae.